This 315-nucleotide ribosomal RNA is filed under the name Triticum aestivum (bread wheat). RNAcentral's name for it is "partial small subunit ribosomal RNA". Lineage: Eukaryota; Viridiplantae; Streptophyta; Magnoliopsida; Poales; Poaceae. The record is from RNAcentral.
AUGGGGGCUCCAACUCCAACGCCUCCUCCCCAACCGCCGCUGCGCCGCCACCUCCCCGCACGACGCCCCUCCACCUCGAGCAGGCCGGAGGCGGCGCCGAUGGGUCGACCCCCGCGACGGUGUUCGACCCCCGGAAGGGCAAGAAUCCGGUGCCCCUGCUGCCGCCCUGGGUCAUUCCUCCUCCUCCGAGCCCCGCCACGGUGUUUGACCCCCGGAAGGGCAAGGAUCCGGUGCCCCCGCUGCCGCCCUGGGUCAUUCCUCCUCCUCCUCCGAGCCCCGCGGGCAGCAGCAGCUCCUCCUCCUCCAGUGGCGUAG